GGAGAGUUGGCAGAGUGGU
RNAcentral lists this unclassified non-coding RNA (19 nucleotides) under Mus musculus (house mouse). RNAcentral's name for it is "oocyte_clustered_small_RNA13041". Lineage: Eukaryota; Metazoa; Chordata; Mammalia; Rodentia; Muridae. The record is from RNAcentral.